RNAcentral lists this ribosomal RNA (666 nucleotides) under Triticum aestivum (bread wheat). RNAcentral describes it as "partial small subunit ribosomal RNA". Lineage: Eukaryota; Viridiplantae; Streptophyta; Magnoliopsida; Poales; Poaceae. The record is from RNAcentral.
AUGGGAGAGAAAAGCUUAGUAAAAGGUGGUGAGAGGCGUCUGCAACGGUCGCCGAGUGGCAUCAUUGGGGGUCUUUGUAGGUUAAAUUAUCCUGGACUAGUCACUUUGCCGAACGGUAUCAUUGAGCCAGCUUGGUCAUGGGAUCACUACAAACUUGCACCAUAUUUCCUGGAUAUGCGUCAGAGGGUUUAUGAUAACAGAGCCAUGCGAGUGGUCAACGAUUUCUGGGAUUUCUAUACAUGCGUUGAGGGUCAGAAGGAUCGUGCAAAUGUGGUGGUCGAGAAUAUUGCCAAGAAACUAGUCCACGACAUGCACUAUGAGGAGCGCGUUCGGUUAGUGGUCAAGUAUCACGCGGACUAUCUCAACCAUAGGAGUUCCAAACAGGAGGCUCGAGGGACGCAUCUUUCACGGGACAAUUACUUCAAGCCGUGCUGGGAGAAGAUCGUCGAACGGUGGACAGAUCCAGGGUGGCAGGAUGAACACAAAGUAAUAUCUGAACGGCGUAAGUUGAUGGGGGGUCGAGGACACCGUCAAGGCAACCUCACCAUCCCAGAAAGAAGACACUGGCAAGGAUAUCACUUACUUCGAGGCAUGGACCAUCAAACGUACCAAAGACGACAAGGACAAGGACCCUCUCCACCCGGAGAGGGACUGGAUCAGCUCUAA